UACGUUCCGGGCCUUGUACACACCGCCCGUCACACCACGAAAGUCGGCAAUACCCGAAGCCGGUGGCCUAACCCGUAAGGGAGGGAGCCGUCGAAGGUAGGGUUGAUGAUUGGGGUG
RNAcentral lists this ribosomal RNA (117 nucleotides) under uncultured bacterium. RNAcentral's name for it is "partial 16S ribosomal RNA". It matches the Rfam family "Bacterial small subunit ribosomal RNA", at positions 1367 to 1482 of the family's 1533-position model. The record is from RNAcentral.